CGCGUAGGCGGCCGCCUAAGUCAGACGUGAAAUCCCUCGGCUCAACCGGGGAACUGCGUCUGAUACUGGGUGGCUUGAAUCCGGGAGAGGGAUGCGGAAUUCCAGGUGUAGCGGUGAAAUGCGUAGAUAUCUGGAGGAACACCGGUGGCGAAAGCGGCUUACUGGGUCUCUUCUGACGCUGAGGUACGAAAGCUAGGGAGCAAACG
Molecule: ribosomal RNA, 206 nt
Filed under: uncultured bacterium
Lineage: Bacteria
Description: partial 16S ribosomal RNA
Rfam family: Bacterial small subunit ribosomal RNA
Source: RNAcentral